Molecule: ribosomal RNA, 253 nt
Filed under: uncultured bacterium
Lineage: Bacteria
Description: partial 16S ribosomal RNA
Rfam family: Bacterial small subunit ribosomal RNA
Source: RNAcentral
UACGUAGGGUGCGAGCGUUGUCCGGAAUUAUUGGGCGUAAAGAGCUCGUAGGCGGUUUGUCGCGUCGGCCGUGAAAACUUGGGGCUUAACCCCAAGCCUGCGGUCGAUACGGGCAGACUUGAGUUCGGCAGGGGAGACUGGAAUUCCUGGUGUAGCGGUGAAAUGCGCAGAUAUCAGGAGGAGCACCGGUGGCGAAGGCGGGUCUCUGGGCCGAUACUGACGCUGAGGAGCGAAAGCGUGGGGAGCGAACAGG